UGACAAAUCAUCAACAACAGUUCAUAAGAGCAAUAUACAAAAUAAUACACUAACAAUCAAACAAAUACAAGUUAUUAACCAGGAUCCAACGUUUCUGUCACAGUCCUGGGUCAGCUGAUUCACUCUUUAUGUUUUUGAGUUCAGUUUGUUUUGUGAUUAUAGUUCUGGUUUCUGUUUCUGUGUCUUCACUGUGUCCCACGUCUCGUUACUUUGGACUCUGUGUAAUAUUUCCUGUUUUACUUUGACAGUCCUGUGUUACUGUUUCCUGUCUCAUGUGCGUAAUUGGUCCCAGGUGUGUUUCCCUCCUGUCUCCCGUUCCCUGAUUACUAAACUGCGUCCAUGCCACCGGCGCUCCUCAGCUGGAUUCCAGGAUUUCAGAGCAUCCAGCUGUGGUGUCUGCCCAACAAGGACGUGGUGCUGAAUGCAUCCAAACCCCUGCUGACUGUCUUUUCAGCUUCGGUCAAAGGUACAGUGUCCACUGUGAACCUGAGAGCAGGAUACAGCCAGAGCAAACACAAUUUCGCUUAAAGUUUGGACCAAAUUACCAUCCAACAUUUCAAGUUUUCCUGACUACAAAUCCAGAGAUUGUGACUCUGAUGGUCAAAGACCAAGAGGGGACAGAAACCUGGGAAUCAUCUGUUUACCUGCCAGCACCAAGAACAGAAACCUUAAUGAGGAAUGUCCCAGCUGAGGCCCGAGUCCUGAGAGGCUGUUCACUGUCCGCUCACAGUUUAUUGAAAGAGUGUCUGAAUCUGUUUUAAACAAACGUCUGGAUAAACUCCUGCAGCAGCAUGUUAUCAAUGAUCAGGAGAUGGAAUCAGUCAGAUCACAGCAGAGCAGAUAAAGCACGAGACGUGAUCGACACGAGGAAGUGAAGCCAGCUCACUGCUGAUC
This is a long non-coding RNA of Oreochromis aureus, 894 nucleotides long. RefSeq lists it as uncharacterized. The record is from RefSeq and is a predicted model, not a curated record. Lineage: Eukaryota; Metazoa; Chordata; Actinopteri; Cichliformes; Cichlidae. The transcript has 4 exons.